GACGAACGCUGGCGGCGUGCUUAACACAUGCAAGUCGAACGCUGAAGCUCAGCUUUUGUUGGGUGGAUGGGUGGCGAACGGGUGAGUAACACGUGAGUAACCUGCCCCCUUCUUUGGGAUAACGCCCGGAAACGGGUGCUAAUACUGGAUAUUCACUGGUCUUCGCAUGGGGGUUGGUGGAAAGGGUUUUUCUGGUGGGGGAUGGGCUCGCGGCCUAUCAGCUUGUUGGUGGGGUGAUGGCCUACCAAGGCUUUGACGGGUAGCCGGCCUGAGAGGGUGACCGGUCACAUUGGGACUGAGAUACGGCCCAGACUCCUACGGGGGGCAGCAGUGGGGAAUAUUACACAAUGGGCGCAAGCCUGAUGCAGCGACGCCGCGUGAGGGAUGGAGGCCUUCGGGUUGUGAACCUCUUUCGCUCAUGGUCAAGCCGCAACAAUGGUUGUGGUGAGGGUAGUGGGUAAAGAAGCGCCGGCUAACUACGUG
Molecule: ribosomal RNA, 483 nt
Filed under: uncultured bacterium
Lineage: Bacteria
Description: partial 16S ribosomal RNA
Rfam family: Bacterial small subunit ribosomal RNA
Source: RNAcentral